RNAcentral lists this ribosomal RNA (422 nucleotides) under Fusobacteriota bacterium. Its description in RNAcentral is "Fusobacteria bacterium partial 16S ribosomal RNA". It matches the Rfam family "Bacterial small subunit ribosomal RNA", at positions 355 to 776 of the family's 1533-position model. The record is from RNAcentral. Lineage: Bacteria; Fusobacteriati; Fusobacteriota.
UGGGGGAUUUUGCACAAUGGGCGCAAGCCUGAUGCAGCGACGCCGCGUGAGGGAUGAAGGCCUUCGGGUUGUAAACCUCUUUCGCUGGGUUGAAAGGCCAUGCUUUGGGUGUGGUUGAUUUGAACUGGUAAAGAAGUACCGGCUAACUACGUGCCAGCAGCCGCGGUAAUACGUAGGGUACUAGCGUUGUCCGGAUUUAUUGGGCGUAAAGGGCUUGUAGGUGGUUUGUCGCGUCUAUCGUGAAAUCCUGUGGCUUAACCAUGGGCUUGCGGUGGGUACGGGCAGGCUUGAGUGCGGUAGGGGAGACUGGAAUUCCUGGUGUAGCGGUGGAAUGCGCAGAUAUCAGGAGGAACACCGGUGGCGAAGGCGGGUCUCUGGGCCGUUACUGACACUGAGGAGCGAAAGCGUGGGGAGCGAACAGG